Molecule: ribosomal RNA, 424 nt
Filed under: uncultured bacterium
Lineage: Bacteria
Description: partial 16S ribosomal RNA
Rfam family: Bacterial small subunit ribosomal RNA
Source: RNAcentral
GAUAUUUGACAAUGGGCGAAAGCCCGAUCCAGCCAUUCCGCGUGUGUGAAGAAGGUCUUCGGAUUGUAAAGCACUUUAAGUUGGGAGAAAGGGUUGUAGGUUAAUACCUUGCUGGUUUGACGUUACCGCCAGAAUAAGCACCGGCUAACUCUGUUCCAGCAGCCGCGGUAAUACGAAGGGUGCAAGCGUUAAUCGGAAUUACUGGGCGUAAAGCGCGCGUAGGUGGUUUGUUAAGUUGGAAGUGAAAGCCCCGGGCUCAACCUGGGAACUGCUUUCAUAACUGCUGAGCUAGAGUACGGUAGAGGGUAGUGGAAUUUCCUGUGUAGCGGUGAAAUGCGUAGAUAUAGGAAGGAACACCAGUGGCGAAGGCGACCACCUGGGCUAAUACUGACACUGAGGUGCGAAAGCGUGGGGAGCAAACAGG